Molecule: transfer RNA, 72 nt
Filed under: Rhynchactis macrothrix
Lineage: Eukaryota; Metazoa; Chordata; Actinopteri; Lophiiformes; Gigantactinidae
Description: tRNA-Leu
Rfam family: tRNA
About the family: Transfer RNA (tRNA) molecules are approximately 80 nucleotides in length. Their secondary structure includes four short double-helical elements and three loops (D, anti-codon, and T loops).
Source: RNAcentral
GCUCCUAGAGGAUAACAGUCAUCCGUUGGUCUUAGGAACCAAAAACUCUUGAUGCAACUCCAAGUAGCAGCU